GACGAACGCUGGCGGCGUGCUUAACACAUGCAAGUCGAACGGAAAGGCCCCUUCGGGGGUACUCGAGUGGCGAACGGGUGAGUAACACGUGAGUAACCUGCCCUUGACUUCGGGAUAACUUCAGGAAACUGGGGCUAAUACCGGAUAGGAAUCCUUGCUGCAUGGUGGGGGUUGGAAAGCUUCGGCGGUUUUGGAUGGACUCGCGGCUUAUCAGCUUGUUGGUGGGGUAGUGGCUUACCAAGGCUUUGACGGGUAGCCGGCCUGGGGGGGCGACCGGCCACAUUGGGACUGAGAUACGGCCCAGACUCCUACGGGAGGCAGCAGUGGGGAAUAUUGCACAAGGGGCGGAAGCCUGAUGCAGCAACGCCGCGUGCGGGAUGACGGCCUUCGGGUUGGAAACCGCUUUCAGCAGGGGCGAAGCUUGUGGUGACGGUACCUGCAGAAGAAGCACCGGCUAACUACGUG
Molecule: ribosomal RNA, 465 nt
Filed under: uncultured bacterium
Lineage: Bacteria
Description: partial 16S ribosomal RNA
Rfam family: Bacterial small subunit ribosomal RNA
Source: RNAcentral